This 183-nucleotide ribosomal RNA is filed under the name Blautia obeum. RNAcentral describes it as "partial 23S ribosomal RNA". It matches the Rfam family "Bacterial large subunit ribosomal RNA", at positions 2744 to 2925 of the family's 2925-position model. Lineage: Bacteria; Bacillati; Bacillota; Clostridia; Lachnospirales; Lachnospiraceae. The record is from RNAcentral.
GGUAGCCAAGCCCGGAAGGGAUAAACGCUGAAGGCAUCUAAGCGUGAAGCCCCCCUCAAGAUGAGAUAUCCCAUCCGAAAGGAGUAAACCCCCUUGAAGACGACGAGGUCGAUAGGGCAGGGGUGGAAGUGUGGUAACACAUGGAGCUGACUGCUACUAAUAGGGUGAGGGCUUGACCAAAAA